Molecule: long non-coding RNA, 1378 nt
Filed under: Lactuca sativa (garden lettuce)
Lineage: Eukaryota; Viridiplantae; Streptophyta; Magnoliopsida; Asterales; Asteraceae
Description: long non-coding RNA (LSAT_LNC010187)
Source: RNAcentral
CCCACCUACACAGAUUUGUUAUUGUGUUUUUGAUUCGUUAGGUUUUCUCUUGUAUAUAAUCACAUAUGAUUAUAUGUGUCGAGUCACAUGUUGUUAUAUGUAUCGAAUUAUAUAUGAUUUAUAUGUUAUUAAAUACAUAUAAUCACAUGUGAUUAAAUACACGUGAAAAACUAGUGAAUCGAGAAUGCAAAAAUGAAUAUUGUCCACAUAAAUCAUAUGUGAUUAGAUACAUAUAACUAUAUGUGAUUAUAUGUAUUUAAUAAAAUAUUAUUUACGUGGGCCAUAUUUAUUUUCCUGUUUCGAUUUAAUAAUUGGCAUCGUGUAUUAAAUCACAUGUGAUUGUAUGUAUUUAAUCACAUAUGAUUUAUAUGGACAAUAGUUGUUUUCACGUGUUGAUUCAAUAGUUGUUCUUGUGUAUUUAAUCAUAUGUGAUUAUAUAUAUUUAAUCACUUAUGAUUCGUAUGGAAAAUGUUUAUUCUUGCAUCGAUUCAAUAAUUGAUCUAAUAUAUUUAAUCACAUGUGAUUAUAUGUAUUUAAUCACAUAUGAUUUAUGUGGACAAGAUUCAUUUUCCUUCUUAAUUCAAUAGUUGUACUCAUGUACUUAAUCAAAUCUGAUUAUAUGUAUCAUAUCGCAUACGAUUUGUAUUGAUAAUAUUCACGAGUUAAUAUUUUUUCUUAUGUAUUUAAUCAUAUGUGAUUUUAUGUAUUAAUCACAUAUGAUUAAUGUGGAAAAAGAAAAACUAUUUAAUCAAAAACGAGAAAAUGAAUCUUGUGUAUAGAAAUCAUAUAUGACUAAAUGUACAAGAAUAAUCAUUGAACAAGAAUGUGAAAAUGAAUAUUGUACAUAUAAAUCAUAUCUAAUUAGAUGCAUAUACUCUCAUGUAAUUAAGCACACAAGAACAACAACUGAAUCGAGAACGCGAAAAUAAAUAUUUUCCACAUAAAUUCUAUGUGCUUAGAUACAAAUAAUCACAUGUGAUUAUAUGCAUUUAAUCACAUAUGAUAUAUGUGGAUAAUAUUGAUAUUUGUGUUCUCGAUUCAAUAGUUUUUCUCGUGUAUAUAAUCAUAUGUGAUUAUAUGUAUCUAAUCACAUAUGAUUUAUUUAGGCAUCAUUAUUUUUUGUCAAUAUAAAUCAUAUGUGAUUAGAUACAUAUAAUUACAUGUGAUUAUAUGUAUUUAAUCAUAUAUGAUUCCAGUUGACAAAGAACGAUUACUGAAUCGAGAAUGUGACAAUGAAUCGUAUCCACAUAAAUCAUAUAUGAUUGGAUAUGUGAUUAAUUACACAAAAGCAAUUAUUCAAUCGAAACCACAAAAAUAAAUAUUGUCUACAUAAAUCAUAUAUGAUUGGAUACAUAUAAUCACAUGUGAUUACAUGUAU